CCUACGGGUGGCAGCAGUGAGGAAUAUUGGUCAAUGGGCGCGAGCCUGAACCAGCCAAGUCGCGUGAGGGAAGACGGUCCUAUGGAUUGUAAACCUCUUUUGUCGGGGAGCAAAAGACGCCACGCGUGGCGUUCCGAGAGUACCCGAAGAAAAAGCAUCAGCUAACUCCGUGCCAGCAGCCGCGGUAAUACGGGGGAUGCGAGCGUUAUCCGGUUUUAUUGGGUUUAAAGGGUGGGCAGGCGGAAGAUCAAGUCAGCGGGAAAAUUGAUAGGCUCAACCUCUUCGAGCCGUUGAAACUGGGUUUCUUGAGUGAGUGAGAAGUAUGCGGAAUGCGUGGUGUAGCGGUGAAAUGCAUAGAUAUCACGCAGAACUCCGAUUGCGAAGGCAGCAUACCGGCGCUCAACUGACGCUCAUGCACGAAAGUGUGGGUAUCGAACAGGAUUAGAUACCCCAGUAGUC
RNAcentral lists this ribosomal RNA (459 nucleotides) under uncultured bacterium. RNAcentral's name for it is "partial 16S ribosomal RNA". It matches the Rfam family "Bacterial small subunit ribosomal RNA", at positions 338 to 795 of the family's 1533-position model. The record is from RNAcentral.